GCGUCGGUGGUGUAGCGGUAACAUUGGGUCUUCCCACGUCUCCGUCAUCACAGACUGGCCUAGCUCCGGGUUCGACUCCCGGCCGACGCA
Non-coding RNA from Mycena filopes, 90 nucleotides. The record is from the annotation of a GenBank genome assembly. Lineage: Eukaryota; Fungi; Basidiomycota; Agaricomycetes; Agaricales; Mycenaceae.